RNAcentral lists this ribosomal RNA (265 nucleotides) under uncultured archaeon. RNAcentral describes it as "partial 16S ribosomal RNA". It matches the Rfam family "Archaeal small subunit ribosomal RNA", at positions 717 to 982 of the family's 1478-position model. The record is from RNAcentral.
AGACGUCUACAUUACGAUACCCCUGUAGUCCCAGCCGUAAACUAUGCUCGCUAGGUGUCAGGCAUGGCGCGACCGUGUCUGGUGCCGCAGGGAAGCCGUGAAGCGAGCCACCUGGGAAGUACGGCCGCAAGGCUGAAACUUAAAGGAAUUGGCGGGGAGCACCACAACGGGUGGAGCCUGCGGUUUAAUUGGACUCAACGCCGGGAAGCUCACCGGAUAAGACAGCGGAAUGAUUGCCGGGCUGAAGACUCUGCAUGACUAGCUG